This 433-nucleotide ribosomal RNA is filed under the name uncultured bacterium. RNAcentral's name for it is "partial 16S ribosomal RNA". It matches the Rfam family "Bacterial small subunit ribosomal RNA", at positions 29 to 507 of the family's 1533-position model. The record is from RNAcentral.
AACGAACGCUGGCGGCAUGCCUAACACAUGCAAGUCGAACGAGACCUUCGGGUCUAGUGGCGCACGGGUGCGUAACGCGUGGGAAUCUGCCCUUGGGUUCGGAAUAACAGUUGGAAACGACUGCUAAUACCGGAUGAUGACGUAAGUCCAAAGAUUUAUCGCCCAAGGAUGAGCCCGCGUAGGAUUAGCUAGUUGGUGAGGUAAAGGCUCACCAAGGCGACGAUCCUUAGCUGGUCUGAGAGGAUGAUCAGCCACACUGGGACUGAGACACGGCCCAGACUCCUACGGGAGGCAGCAGUGGGGAAUAUUGGACAAUGGGCGGAAGCCUGAUCCAGCAAUGCCGCGUGAGUGAUGAAGGCCUUAGGGUUGUAAAGCUCUUUUACCCGGGAUGAUAAUGACAGUACCGGGAGAAUAAGCUCCGGCUAACUCCGUG